GACGAACGCUGGCGGCGUGCCUAAUACAUGCAAGUCGAGCGGACGGAUGGGAGCUUGCUCCCAGACCGUCAGCGGCGGACGGGUGAGUAACACGUGGGCAACCUGCCUGUAAGACUGGGAUAACUCCGGGAAACCGGGGCUAAUACCGGAUAACUCUUUCCCUCACAUGAGGGAAAGCUGAAAGAUGGCAUCUCGCUAUCACUUACAGAUGGGCCCGCGGCGCAUUAGCUGGUUGGUGAGGUAACGGCUCACCAAGGCGACGAUGCGUAGCCGACCUGAGAGGGGGAUCGGCCACACUGGGACUGAGACACGGCCCAGACUCCUACGGGAGGCAGCAGUAGGGAAUCUUCCGCAAUGGACGAAAGUCUGACGGAGCAACGCCGCGUGAGUGAUGAAGGUUUUCGGAUCGUAAAACUCUGUUGUCAGGGAAGAACAAGUACCGGAGUAACUGCCGGUACCUUGACGGUACCUGACCAGAAAACCACGGCUAACUACGU
RNAcentral lists this ribosomal RNA (497 nucleotides) under uncultured bacterium. RNAcentral describes it as "partial 16S ribosomal RNA". It matches the Rfam family "Bacterial small subunit ribosomal RNA", at positions 28 to 506 of the family's 1533-position model. The record is from RNAcentral.